RNAcentral lists this ribosomal RNA (491 nucleotides) under uncultured bacterium. Its description in RNAcentral is "partial 16S ribosomal RNA". It matches the Rfam family "Bacterial small subunit ribosomal RNA", at positions 29 to 506 of the family's 1533-position model. The record is from RNAcentral.
AGUGAACGCUGGCGGUAGGCCUAACACAUGCAAGUCGAACGGCAGCACAGUAAGAGCUUGCUCUUACGGGUGGCGAGUGGCGGACGGGUGAGGAAUACAUCGGAAUCUACUUUUUCGUGGGGGAUAACGUAGGGAAACUUACGCUAAUACCGCAUACGACCUACGGGUGAAAGCAGGGGAUCUUCGGACCCUGCGCGAUUGAAUGAGCCGAUGUCGGAUUAGCUAGUUGGCGGGGUAAAGGCCCACCAAGGCGACGAUCCGUAGCUGGUCUGAGAGGAUGAUCAGCCACACUGGAACUGAGACACGGUCCAGACUCCUACGGGAGGCAGCAGUGGGGAAUAUUGGACAGUGGGCGCAAGCCUGAUCCAGCCAUACCGCGUGGGUGAAGAAGGCCUUCGGGUUGUAAAGCCCUUUUGUUGGGAAAGAAAAGCAGCAGGUUAAUACCCCGCUGUUCUGACGGUACCCAAAGAAUAAGCACCGGCUAACUUCGU